AAGUCGUACGCACUGGCCCAACUGAUUGAUGGUGCUUGCACCUGAUUGACGAUGGAUCACCAGUGAGUGGCGGACGGGUGAGUAACACGUAGGUAACCUGCCCCGGAGCGGGGGAUAACAUUUGGAAACAGAUGCUAAUACCGCAUAACAACAAAAGCCACAUGGCUUUUGUUUGAAAGAUGGCUUUGGCUAUCACUCUGGGAUGGACCUGCGGUGCAUUAGCUAGUUGGUAAGGUAACGGCUUACCAAGGCGAUGAUGCAUAGCCGAGUUGAGAGACUGAUCGGCCACAAUGGAACUGAGACACGGUCCAUACUCCUACGGGAGGCAGCAGUAGGGAAUCUUCCACAAUGGGCGCAAGCCUGAUGGAGCAACACCGCGUGAGUGAAGAAGGGUUUCGGCUCGUAAAGCUCUGUUGUUGGAGAAGAACGUGCGUGAGAGUAACUGUUCACGCAGUGACGGUAUCCAACCAGAAAGUCACGGCUAACUACGUGCCAGCAGCCGCGGUAAUACGUAGGUGGCAAGCGUUAUCCGGAUUUAUUGGGCGUAAAGCGAGCGCAGGCGGUUGCUUAGGUCUGAUGUGAAAGCCUUCGGCUUAACCGAAGAAGUGCAUCGGAAACCGGGCGACUUGAGUGCAGAAGAGGACAGUGGAACUCCAUGUGUAGCGGUGGAAUGCGUAGAUAUAUGGAAGAACACCAGUGGCGAAGGCGGCUGUCUGGUCUGCAACUGACGCUGAGGCUCGAAAGCAUGGGUAGCGAACAGGAUUAGAUACCCUGGUAGUCCAUGCCGUAAACGAUGAGUGCUAGGUGUUGGAGGGUUUCCGCCCUUCAGUGCCGGAGCUAACGCAUUAAGCACUCCGCCUGGGGAGUACGACCGCAAGGUUGAAACUCAAAGGAAUUGACGGGGGCCCGCACAAGCGGUGGAGCAUGUGGUUUAAUUCGAAGCUACGCGAAGAACCUUACCAGGUCUUGACAUCUUGCGCUAACCUUAGAGAUAAGGCGUUCCCUUCGGGGACGCAAUGACAGGUGGUGCAUGGUCGUCGUCAGCUCGUGUCGUGAGAUGUUGGGUUAAGUCCCGCAACGAGCGCAACCCUUGUUACUAGUUGCCAGCAUUAAGUUGGGCACUCUAGUGAGACUGCCGGUGACAAACCGGAGGAAGGUGGGGACGACGUCAGAUCAUCAUGCCCCUUAUGACCUGGGCUACACACGUGCUACAAUGGACGGUACAACGAGUCGCAAGCUCGCGAGAGUAAGCUAAUCUCUUAAAGCCGUUCUCAGUUCGGACUGUAGGCUGCAACUCGCCUACACGAAGUCGGAAUCGCUAGUAAUCGCGGAUCAGCAUGCCGCGGUGAAUACGUUCCCGGGCCUUGUACACACCGCCCGUCACACCAUGGGAGUUUGUAACGCCCAAAGUCGGUGGCCU
RNAcentral lists this ribosomal RNA (1420 nucleotides) under Limosilactobacillus reuteri. RNAcentral's name for it is "bacterial SSU rRNA". It matches the Rfam family "Bacterial small subunit ribosomal RNA", at positions 59 to 1436 of the family's 1533-position model. The record is from RNAcentral. Lineage: Bacteria; Bacillati; Bacillota; Bacilli; Lactobacillales; Lactobacillaceae.